AUUGCUGUCGGCAUUUCAAAGUUCACCUUUAGUUUUAUAAUUAAAACAGGUAAUGGUAAGAAUGCAGAGAUAAGAAAAUCAGUGGAAGAGUGGAACAAAGAAUGGUAUAGUAAGGAGUUUAAAGUUCUCAGUUGGAUGGACAAGACAAGCCUGUAUUGCCUGUCUCUGUCCCUAGACUCCCAUCCAAUAGUAGCUCCUUCUAGUUUCCCAGCUAAUAGUGGAUUGGACGUUCCUAGCCUCUAAGCUAACAGUAGCUCUAACUAGUCAUAGUAACUACUACUCAAUCAUAAAUGCACAUGACAGUGGGUCAUGGCCAGAGCUGCACAAUGAGUCAUUAAUGGACUUAAAAUGUAUUUUUUAAUUAGUGGCAGAGAGAGAGUGGAGUUGUUCAACCGCUGAUACCUCAAUGGCAGUGAUGCCUCCAUCUAAUUACAAAUUGCCAUGUACACAAACAUAGAGCAGGGGGACGGGUUAUUAUUAACUACAGCCUAUGGCCCUGGUGUUCAGGGGGUCCUAAUCAUGAAUGGAUUAUAAUGUAUAAUGUUAGACAGACAUUCAUGGUUACUAGAUAAUGAAUCCUUCGGACUUUGGUGAUAUGUUACUUUUAUUUGGCGCCACCAUUCUGGUUGACAUUUAUGAUUUUGACUCCGCUUCCGCUCACCACACACUCACUCAGCUAGAGUACUAGCUUUGGAUUGUUCGGGAUCCAAACUGAACUUUUUUAAUUGUUUUACUUUUUAACUGCUUUACUGGUUCCUUUCAUCCAAUCUUUCUGUGACUUUUUAAAAAAAUCAAAUCAACAUACACUUGUUUUUGUCGUUUGCUGGGCUACCACCCGACCUAGUCUGCAGUAGCCCCAGUGGCUACGCUAACAAGUAUUGCUAGUCAUGGCCGCAAAUGAGGACGUAGUCUACUACUGAGAAAAGCAAAUAAAAAAAUCCGACCUUAAGGAAGAUAUCCGCAUGCUCUCUGAUGAACUAAAGAAGAAGGACUUGAUGUUGUCCAGCUUCAUGGGGUGGCGGACGGACAGUCCAAACAGCUCCGACGCUGCGGCCACGGGGAAUCCCCUUUCGAGAACCCAACAUCUUGGGCUUGUUGUCUCACCGCACAACCCAGUUCAUUGUGAUCUUUGUUUGAGGACCAAUCCUGUGGAAGAGAGGGAUUUGCAACCUUUUCCAGCCUAAUGAUCAACAACUGUUUUUCUGGGCUCCUCAGGAAGGUCCUUUGUCCAUGCCGUCAUAUACUUCCACAAACACAUGGUGUGAAAAUCAGACUGAUUAGAAUUACAACUUACUGAUAUGUAGUAUUGGCUCAUUUCCCGAAUAAAUAAAAGCCCAAGUGUAAUGUUUCUGU
Mugil cephalus (flathead mullet) is the source of this 1353-nucleotide long non-coding RNA. RefSeq lists it as uncharacterized. Lineage: Eukaryota; Metazoa; Chordata; Actinopteri; Mugiliformes; Mugilidae. The record is from RefSeq and is a predicted model, not a curated record. The transcript is spliced from 3 exons.